Molecule: transfer RNA, 74 nt
Filed under: Corydalis hamata
Lineage: Eukaryota; Viridiplantae; Streptophyta; Magnoliopsida; Ranunculales; Papaveraceae
Also listed under: 4 other names
Description: tRNA-Val
Rfam family: tRNA
About the family: Transfer RNA (tRNA) molecules are approximately 80 nucleotides in length. Their secondary structure includes four short double-helical elements and three loops (D, anti-codon, and T loops). Further hydrogen bonds mediate the characteristic L-shaped molecular structure. tRNAs have two regions of fundamental functional importance: the anti-codon, which is responsible for specific mRNA codon recognition, and the 3' end, to which the tRNAs corresponding amino acid is attached (by aminoacyl-tRNA synthetases). tRNAs cope with the degeneracy of the genetic code in two manners: having more than one tRNA (with a specific anti-codon) for a particular amino acid; and 'wobble' base-pairing, i.e. permitting non-standard base-pairing at the 3rd anti-codon position.
Source: RNAcentral
AGAGCUAUAGCUCAGUUAGGUAGAGCACCUCGUUUACACUGAGAAAGUCUACAGUUCGAAUCUGUAUAGCCCUA